Molecule: ribosomal RNA, 485 nt
Filed under: uncultured bacterium
Lineage: Bacteria
Description: partial 16S ribosomal RNA
Rfam family: Bacterial small subunit ribosomal RNA
Source: RNAcentral
AGUGAACGCUGGCGGCGUGCUUAACACAUGCAAGUCGAACGAGAACGGAAUAUAGCUUGCUAUAUUUGUCAGCUAAGUGGCACACGGGUGGGUAAUGUAUAGAUAACCUGCCCUUAAGAAAGGAAUAACAGUUGGAAACGACUGCUAAUGCCCUAUAUGCCUUUAAUACAUAAGUAUGCAAGGGAAACGCUUUAGUGCUUAAGGAUGGGUCUGUAUGGUAUCAGCUUGUUGGUGAGGUAACGGCUCACCAAGGCUAUGACGCCUAACUGGUUUGAGAGGAUGAUCAGUCACACUGGAACUGAUACACGGUCCAGACUCCUACGGGAGGCAGCAGUGGGGAAUAUUGCACAAUGGACGAAAGUCUGAUGCAGCAACGCCGCGUGGAGGAUGACAUAUUUCGGUGCGUAAACUCCUUUUAUAUAGGAAGAUAAUGACGUUACCCGCAGAAGAAGCACCGGCUAACUCCGUGCCAGCCGCCGCAGUAA